RNAcentral lists this ribosomal RNA (234 nucleotides) under uncultured bacterium. RNAcentral's name for it is "partial 16S ribosomal RNA". It matches the Rfam family "Bacterial small subunit ribosomal RNA", at positions 118 to 351 of the family's 1533-position model. The record is from RNAcentral.
UGAGUAACCUGCCCUUAACUCUGGGAUAAGCCUGGGAAACUGGGUCUAAUACCGGAUAUGACUCCUCAUCGCAUGGUGGGGGGUGGAAAGCUUUAUUGUGGUUUUGGAUGGACUCGCGGCCUAUCAGCUUGUUGGUGAGGUAAUGGCUCACCAAGGCGACGACGGGUAGCCGGCUGAGAGGGUGACCGGCCACACUGGGACUGAGACACGGCCCAGACUCCGUACGGGAGGCAG